This 496-nucleotide ribosomal RNA is filed under the name uncultured bacterium. Its description in RNAcentral is "partial 16S ribosomal RNA". It matches the Rfam family "Bacterial small subunit ribosomal RNA", at positions 30 to 523 of the family's 1533-position model. The record is from RNAcentral.
AUUGAACGCUGGCGGAAUGCUUUACACAUGCAAGUCGAACGGUAGAGGGGGCAACCCCUCGAGAGUGGCGAACGGGUGAGUAAUAUAUCGGAACGUGCCCAGUCGUGGGGGAUAACGUAGCGAAAGUUACGCUAAUACCGCAUACGAUCUAAGGAUGAAAGCGGGGGAUCGCAAGACCUCGCGCGAUUGGAGCGGCCGAUAUCAGAUUAGGUAGUUGGUGGGGUAAAGGCUCACCAAGCCAACGAUCUGUAGCUGGUCUGAGAGGACGACCAGCCACACUGGAACUGAGACACGGUCCAGACUCCUACGGGAGGCAGCAGUGGGGAAUUUCGGACAAUGGACGCAAGUCUGAUCCAGCCAUUCCGCGUGCAGGAUGAAGGCCCUCGGGCUGUAGACUGCUUUUGUACGGAACGAAAAGGUCUCUCUUAAUACGGGGGACUCAUGACGGUACCGUAAGAAUAAGCACCGGCUAACUACGUGCCAGCCGCCGCCGUAA